This 474-nucleotide ribosomal RNA is filed under the name Triticum aestivum (bread wheat). Its description in RNAcentral is "partial small subunit ribosomal RNA". Lineage: Eukaryota; Viridiplantae; Streptophyta; Magnoliopsida; Poales; Poaceae. The record is from RNAcentral.
AUGAUUUUGGAUAGAUGUGGGGGCUCCCCUUUAGCUGCCAAAGCCUUUGGAUCUAUGUUGUGUAACAGGACUAGCAUGAAAGAAUGGAAGAACGUACUAACCAGAAGCAUCGAUGGCAACGAGAAGAUAGGAACUUUUGCAAUACUCAAACUCAACUAUGAUGACUUGUUAUCACACUUACAACAAUGCUUUGCUUGUUAUGCAGUAUUUUCGAAAGAUUACCAGAUUGAUGUGGAGAUUUUAGUCCAGUUAUGGAUGGAACAUGAAGGUGACAAUUUUGAAACGGUAGGCAAAGAAUUUUUUAAAAAUCUAACUUGGAGGUCAUUCUUUCAAGAGGGCAAGCAAACCCCCAAGGUGCAUUCUGGGGGAAGAUUCGUUCUAGAACAAUAUGCAAGAUACAUGAUCUUAUACAUGACAUUGCCUCAUCUGUUAUGGGGAAAUAUUGUCUUACCAUGUAUGUUGUCUAGCCUCUAG